CUCAGUGGACAAGAACCGAUGGCAGCGGGGAGAGGUCUUCACGUGUGCAGUCAUGCAUGAAGCUCUACACAACCACCACACACAGAAAUCCAUCUCCCAGACUCCGGAGCUGCUCCUGGACGACAGCUGUGCCGAGGACCAGGAUGGGGAGCUGGACGGGCUGUGGACCACCAUCUCAAUCUUCAUCACCCUCUUCCUGCUCAGCGUGUGCUACAGCGCCACUGUGACCCUCUUCAAGAUGAAGUGGAUCUUCUCCUUGGUGGUGGAGCUGAAGCGCACGAUCGUGCCCGACUACAGGAACAUGAUCGGGCAGGGGACCUAGGGUCAGCCCUCUUGGGCGUGUGUCCAGGGCUGCCCUCGACCCCACACA
Leptonychotes weddellii (Weddell seal) is the source of this 370-nucleotide non-coding RNA. The record is from the annotation of a RefSeq genome assembly. Lineage: Eukaryota; Metazoa; Chordata; Mammalia; Carnivora; Phocidae.